Molecule: ribosomal RNA, 265 nt
Filed under: uncultured bacterium
Lineage: Bacteria
Description: partial 16S ribosomal RNA
Rfam family: Bacterial small subunit ribosomal RNA
Source: RNAcentral
GCAAGUCGAACGAGAACGGGAUUGCUUGCAAUCCUUAGUAGAGUGGCGCACGGGUGAGUAACACGUAGAUAAUCUACCUUCAAGCCUGGAAUAACUAUUCGAAAGGAUAGCUAAUACCGGAUAAAGUUAGUUGACAUAGGUUGACUAUGAAAGAUUGCCUCUUCUUGAACGCAAUUGUUUGGAGAUGAGUCUGCGGACCAUUAGUUUGUUGGUGGGGUAAAGGCCUACCAAGACUGCGAUGGUUAGCUGGUCUGAGAGGAUGAUC